CCCUUAGAUGUUCUGGGCCGCACGCGUGCUACACUGAGUGGAUCAGCGGGUCAGGUUGCGCGAAAGUGUUUCCUAAUCUUUAAAUCCGCUCGUGAUGGGGAUUGACGGUUGCAAUUUUCCGUCAUGAACGAGGAAUACCUUGUAAGCGCGGGUCAUCAUCCCGCGCUGAAUACGUCCCUGCCCUUUAUACACACCGCCCGUCGCUCCUACCGAUUGAGUGGUCCGGUGAGGCUUUGGGAUCUGAGCGGAAAGAGCGUUUCGCUGUUUCUGCCCGGAAAACUCAGUCGAACCUUAUCAUUUAGAGGAAGGAGAAGUCGUAACA
RNAcentral lists this ribosomal RNA (322 nucleotides) under uncultured eukaryote. Its description in RNAcentral is "partial 18S ribosomal RNA". It matches the Rfam family "Eukaryotic small subunit ribosomal RNA", at positions 1470 to 1796 of the family's 1831-position model. The record is from RNAcentral.